AACCUUAAAGUGCACUUGAAAAGCUCACACAAGAAGGCUAACCUAGCUUACCUGGAGAAGGUAGAGGGAGUGUUCGCCCAGGGCACCAAACAGGCUAGGACUGCCACUGACUGAGGUUGUCAGCUGAGGUUGAUAUUUUACAGAAAAAAUUCCCCGAGGUCCACCGAGUCAAGAGCUAUCAACACUGGUUCUGUGGACAAAGUCCUGGGAAAGAUAUAUGUCGAGGAGACUCUGGUGGAGGAGUGGUUCAUAAUGGCAGGAUUUAUGGGGUCUCUUCUUUUGUGGGAGAUCCGGACUUUGUAUGCAGAGCACCGGCUGCCUUCAUGGACCUCUGUGAUCCUGAGUAUGCAGAUUGGACCAGGAAAACUAUCAACCCAUAAAAAGCUGUAAGGUGUGGAUAACUGUAAACAAGCUGAAAUAAAUAAUCUUUAGAGUUUAGCUUUGCAAAAGUUGAAUAAAGUUGAAUAAAACACAAUAGAAAUAGAAAAAAAUGCCACAAAGCUGAAAAACUGAACAAAAAACAAACAAAAAACAAACACAAAUUACAACAGAAAUAAUAAUAACAAUAUAAAAAAAAACACAAUAGAAGUACAAAAAACCCUUUCAUCAUAAAACUUGGUGGCAAAGUGGAAUAUGGUAAGGAAAGGCUAAUUUAAGUGCUUUCAUUACUCAAAGGUUCCUGUUAAUUAUGCAUGAAGUGACUUCUGGAGGGGAAUGAAACUUAACUGAAAUGCUCCCUGUGUUUGACCUGUCAAAUGCAGGCGUAACUCCUGUUAUUCAUUGUUGUAUUUCAGGUCUGCUGUGCACGACGUCUGUGAAUCUGAGUAAUUUGGUUCAGAUGAAGGAAUAAGACUGCUCAGAUGCUUUGGGUGUCACGUAAUGAUUCCUCAGGUUAAGGUGUCUUUGGUGCCCUUUGAUUUCAAUCUAACUGCACAUUGAACAGAAAUCCUGCCAUGACAGAACACACUAAUGCCUUUUCAAGGGAGAACCGAUCCUAAUCUGAGCUGUCAGCCCCAAGUUCUCUGCAGUCAUCAAAUCAAGCAUAAUCUGGUUUGAACAGGCUCCCUGCCUCACUGCAAAAGCCUUUUUACCAGCUGCUGUUUGACAAAUUGCAAAGCCUCUGAAGAGACUUUAGAAUGGGGAAAAAGGGAUACGAAGAAAGAGCUGUACAAAAAGCUAUCCAUGCACUCCUACUGUUUAACAUUUCACUUGGAGUUUAGUGACUGUAUUGUAUCUGUGGAUUGCAUUAUAGUUUCUCUGAGAGCUUUGCUCCCUGAAGAUUUUAUGACCUGUGAACGCUGAGUCUAUCUUGUGGCUGUAAACCAGUCUGCUCAGCAUGUCACUGCAUGGCAGAGUUUCUCUCCAUUUUUUUGAAUCACCUUUGCUCAGUUGUGCUCCUAACUGAUCUCCUGAGUUUGGCUGUAUUCCUGGACUUUGCCCUUUAGUUACUCUUCAGUCUCUUUAACACACGGGCUGCCAAAUUUAGGAGAACACAGUGAGACAGAUGAAGCUUGCACCAGAUGGUAGAAACACAAUGAUCAUGGUCUUAGACACAGCAUCCACACUCUGCUCCGUACAUGAUAGUGUGUGUGUGUGUGGUGCUGUUUGCAGGAACUUGAUGAGGCUUUGCUUAAGUGGAAAUCCACUGAUGUUCAAGCCCCAGGGAAGUGGGUGGGGGGAUAGGACCUCUGGGGCCCUCUUCCUGAUGGAGCCCUACCUGACUCCUUUCACUGCUAAAGCAAGAAUCUGUUUAAACAAACAUAAUGACAACAACAAAAGUCACUCAACAGAAUAGUGGAGAAGUUAUUUCCUUUAUUAGUUAGUGUUUAGAUUUUCAUGUGUUCAUUUUUGUUGGUGUCACAUAGCUUAUAGAUGUGGACAGUUUUAUUGGUGCCACAGCUCACAGCUCAUUGAAACAAUACUUCAUUUCAUCAGAAUCAUCAAAUUAUUCUGUUAAAAGCAACCGCCCAGUGUACUUGCAUGGCUUUAGUAUGUGAAAGAGUGAACCAAUAAAAAUGUGAAAAGAAUGGAUUUGUUGAUUUUACAGAGAUUUGCUAAAAUACUUUGAACUCGUUUGUUGGUACCCAUAAAGAGACCACCAGUCCUUGCAUUAUAACCAUAUUUCAAAGUUAGUGUUUAAUAAGAUAUUAUUAACUUUCAAAGCCUUUAUUGAGAAAACUGAAUUGAAAUUCCAAGAUACACAUUUAGACAUUAUAUGUAUCAGUUUCAUACUAUGUUUGCACCUCUGAAGCCCAACUGAUCCCCCAUGACUGCAUUUAAUAUCCAUCAUUUAUAUGAGAUGAGCAAAGUCUGUGUAUCAAAAAGUUUCUGACAAUAUUGCUGGACAUAAUUGAGCUAUUGAUGUAAAAGUGCCUGGUUGUGUUACACUGACCCUAUGUUACUAACUAUAGGCUGUCAUAUAUUAACUGUUCCUCUACGUUCCUCAAUAAAUGCAGCCAUUGUUACUCCCCUGAAAA
Oreochromis niloticus (Nile tilapia) is the source of this 2477-nucleotide long non-coding RNA. RefSeq lists it as uncharacterized. The record is from RefSeq and is a predicted model, not a curated record. The transcript has 2 exons. Lineage: Eukaryota; Metazoa; Chordata; Actinopteri; Cichliformes; Cichlidae.